CUACGAGGCGCUGCAGUGGGGAAUAUUGCACAAUGGAGGAAACUCUGAUGCAGCAACGCCGCGUGGAGGAUGACACUUUUCGGAGCGUAAACUCCUUUUAUAUAGGAAGAAGAUGACGGUACUAUAUGAAUAAGCGCCGGCUAACUCCGUGCCAGCAGCCGCGGUAAUACGGAGGGCGCAAGCGUUACUCGGAAUCACUGGGCGUAAAGAGCGUGUAGGCGGAUUAAAAAGUCAGAAGUGAAAUCCUAUAGCUUAACUAUAGAACUGCUUCUGAAACUCUUAAUCUAGAAUAUGGGAGAGGUAGAUGGAAUUUCUGGUGUAGGGGUAAAAUCCGUAGAGAUCAGAAGGAAUACCGAUUGCGAAGGCGAUCUACUAGAACAUUAUUGACGCUGAGACGCGAAAGCGUGGGGAGCAAACAGGAUUAGAUACCCCUGUAGUC
This 439-nucleotide ribosomal RNA is filed under the name uncultured bacterium. Its description in RNAcentral is "partial 16S ribosomal RNA". It matches the Rfam family "Bacterial small subunit ribosomal RNA", at positions 339 to 795 of the family's 1533-position model. The record is from RNAcentral.